GGUUUGUAGGGGUGAAACGUUAGUCGUUUAUUAAUAUAUCUGGUUUUAAAGGAAAUAAAUUAAAU
RNAcentral lists this transfer RNA (65 nucleotides) under Ips sexdentatus. RNAcentral describes it as "tRNA-Val". Lineage: Eukaryota; Metazoa; Arthropoda; Insecta; Coleoptera; Curculionidae. The record is from RNAcentral.